RNAcentral lists this ribosomal RNA (34 nucleotides) under Leptodophora cf. orchidicola. Its description in RNAcentral is "Cadophora cf. orchidicola partial 28S ribosomal RNA". The record is from RNAcentral. Lineage: Eukaryota; Fungi; Ascomycota; Leotiomycetes; Helotiales.
GGUUGACCUCGGAUCAGGUAAGGAUACCCGCUGA